GCCUAAAUCACUGAAAUAAAAGUACAAGCGCACUGACUGUUAAUCAGGGGGCGUUGGUUCGAGUCCGACAUCGGGCGCCA
Molecule: transfer RNA, 80 nt
Filed under: Dyella marensis
Lineage: Bacteria; Pseudomonadati; Pseudomonadota; Gammaproteobacteria; Lysobacterales; Rhodanobacteraceae
Description: tRNA_Pseudo_GTT
Source: RNAcentral